AGCGAACGCUAGCGGCAGGCUUAACACAUGCAAGUCGAGCGCCAGGUUUCGGCCUGGAGCGGCGAACGGGUGAGUAACACGUAGGUCACGUACCCUAUGGUGGGGAAUACCCCGGGGAAACUCGGAUCAAUGCCCCAUAUGUCCGAAAGGAUGAAAGCGCUUCGGCGCGCCAGAGGAUCGGCCUGCGGCCCAUUAUUUAAUCCUAGUUGGUGAGGUAACGGCUCACCAAGGGUACGAUGGGUAGCUGGUCUGAGAGGACGAUCAGCCACACUGGAACUGAGACACGGUCCAGACUCCUACGGGAGGCAGCAGUGGGGAAUAUUGGACAAUGGGCGAAAGCCUGAUCCAGCCAUGCCGCGUGAGUGAUGAAGGCCUUCGGGUUGUAAAGCUCUGUCGUGGGGGAAGAAGUUCUGACGGUACCCCACAAGAAAGCACCGGCUAACUCCGUGCCAGCCGCCGCCGUAA
This 465-nucleotide ribosomal RNA is filed under the name uncultured bacterium. RNAcentral's name for it is "partial 16S ribosomal RNA". It matches the Rfam family "Bacterial small subunit ribosomal RNA", at positions 29 to 523 of the family's 1533-position model. The record is from RNAcentral.